AUGGACUGGACCCCUCUCCUGCUCCUGAUCCUCUCUCAAUGCACAGGCUCCCUGUCCCAGCCCCUGCUGACCUGGCCGCCCUCCCUCUGAGCAUCUCCGGGAACGACAGCCAGACUCACCUGCACCCUGAGCAGGGACAUCGGUGUGGGCGUCUCUAACAUCUACUGGAUCCAGCAGCAGCCAGGGAGCCCUCCCCGGUGUCUACUGAGGUUCUCCUCAGACUCCGAUAAGCACCAGGGCUCCGGGGUCCCCGGCCGCUUCUCGGGCUCCAAAGACGCCUCGGCCAAUGCGGGGCUUCUGCGCAUCUCUGGGCUCCAGGCUGAGGACGAGGCUGAGUAUUACUGUGCAUCGUGGGACAGCAGUCUCAGUGCUCACACAGUGCCCCAGGCUUGUGGGGAAGGAUGUGGGACACAGAUGGACAUGAUAGGACGUGUCCCCAUGCUCAGGGAGCUGACGGUGUCUGGGGAAAUAGAGAGGACACAGGAGCUAAACAUGUAA
This is a non-coding RNA of Zalophus californianus (California sea lion), 498 nucleotides long. NCBI's taxonomy places the organism in Eukaryota, Metazoa, Chordata, Mammalia, Carnivora, Otariidae. The record is from the annotation of a RefSeq genome assembly.